GAGACAGCAGCAGCCACGGUAAUACGUAGGUGGCAAGCGUUGUCCGGAAUUAUUGGGCGUAAAGCGCGCGCAGGCGGAUCAGUCAGUCUGUCUUAAAAGUUCGGGGCUUAACCCCGUGAGGGGAUGGAAACUGCUGAUCUAGAGUAUCGGAGAGGAAAGUGGAAUUCCUAGUGUAGCGGUGAAAUGCGUAGAUAUUAGGAAGAACACCAGUGGCGAAGGCGACUUUCUGGACGAAAACUGACGCUGAGGCGCGAAAGCCAGGGGAGCGAACGGGAUUAGAUACCCCAGUAGUCCCUGUCUCUUAUACA
This 308-nucleotide ribosomal RNA is filed under the name uncultured bacterium. RNAcentral's name for it is "partial 16S ribosomal RNA". It matches the Rfam family "Bacterial small subunit ribosomal RNA", at positions 505 to 809 of the family's 1533-position model. The record is from RNAcentral.